This 264-nucleotide ribosomal RNA is filed under the name uncultured bacterium. RNAcentral's name for it is "partial 16S ribosomal RNA". It matches the Rfam family "Bacterial small subunit ribosomal RNA", at positions 90 to 354 of the family's 1533-position model. The record is from RNAcentral.
ACUGAGUGGCGGACGGGUGAGUAACGCGUGGGUAACCUGCCCUGUACAGGGGGACAACAGUUAGAAAUGACUGCUAAUACCGCAUAAGCGCACAGGACCGCAUGGUCCGGUGUGAAAAACUCCGGUGGUACAGGAUGGACCCGCGUCUGAUUAGGUAGUUGGCGGGGUAACGGCCCACCAAGCCGACGAUCAGUAGCCGACCUGAGAGGGUGACCGGCCACAUUGGGACUGAGACACGGCCCAAACUCCUACGGAAGGCAGCAG